RNAcentral lists this ribosomal RNA (1244 nucleotides) under Afraciura zernyi. RNAcentral's name for it is "partial 16S ribosomal RNA". Lineage: Eukaryota; Metazoa; Arthropoda; Insecta; Diptera; Tephritidae. The record is from RNAcentral.
UGCAAAUCAAUAUAAAUUGAUUUUAUAAUUUAUUUAUUAAUUUUAUUUUUUUUAUAUAUAUAUAUAUAUAUAUAUUGUUUUAAUUUAUAUUAAAAAUAUUUAUAAAAUUUAUUUGUUUUAGUAAUUAAAAUAAAAAAAUAAAAUUUAUAAUAGUUUAUUUGUAUUGUGAAUGAAAAUUGAAAUAUAUUGAAAAAUAUUUAUUUAAAAAGAAAAAUUAAUUAUUUGUACCUUGUGUAUCAGGGUUUAUUAAUUAUUUAAUAAUUAUUUAUUUAUCUCGAUUUUAUAAGAGUUAAUAAUUUAUUAAAGUUAAUGUUUUAUAUUUAUUUCAUAUAAGUUAUUAGAAGUGAAAUGUUAUUCGUUUAUAAAUAUAUCUAGUUUUUUUAGAAAUAAAUUUAAUUUAAUAAUUUUUAAUUUUAUUUAUUAUUUAAUUAAUAAAUAAAUUUAUUAAUUAAAAUAUUUUAAGGGAUAAGCUUUAAAGUAAAUUUAUUAAAAAUUUAAUAAAUUUUUAUAGAAAUAUAUGCAUAGAAUUAGCAAUUGUUAAUAAUUUUGUUAUAAAUUAUUUUUAUAUAAAUAUAUUUUUAUUAAGUAUUUUAAUUAUUUAUAAAAAUUAUUUUUGUAAUUUAAUAUAAAAAUGAAUAAUGAUAAAAUUAGUAUAUAUAUAAUAGUGUAAAUUUAAAUAUUUAUGAUAAGUUUAUAUAAAGAAUUCGGCAAAUAUAAUACUCGCCUGUUUAACAAAAACAUGUCUUUUUGAAUUAUUUUUAAAGUCUAACCUGCCCAAUGAAAAUUUUUUAAUGGCCGCAGUAUUUUAACUGUGCAAAGGUAGCAUAAUAAUUNGUCUUUUAAUUGAAGGCUUGUAUGAAUGGUUGGACGAAGUAUAAUCUGUUUACAUAUAGAUUUAUUAUAGAAUUUUAUAUUUUAGUUAAAAAGCUAAAAUUUAAUUAAAAGACGAGAAGACCCUAUAAAUCUUUAUAAUUUAAUUUAUUUUUAUUUUUUUGAAUUAUUUUAUUUUAAUAAUUUAAAUUAUUUUAUUGGGGUGAUAUUAAAAUUUAANNAACUUUUAAUUUUUAAAAUCAUUAAUUUAUGUAUUAUUGAUCCAUUAAUAAUGAUUAAAAAAAUAAGUUACUUUAGGGAUAACAGCGUAAUUUUUUUGGAGAGUUCUUAUUGAUAAAAAAGUUUGCGACCUCGAUGUUGGAUUAAGAAAAUUUUUAGGUGUAGUAGCUUUAAUAAUAAGUCUGUUCGACUUU